This 354-nucleotide ribosomal RNA is filed under the name bacterium LimA-100-J-162. Its description in RNAcentral is "bacterial SSU rRNA". It matches the Rfam family "Bacterial small subunit ribosomal RNA", at positions 294 to 640 of the family's 1533-position model. RNAcentral also lists the same sequence under 1 other name. The record is from RNAcentral.
CAGAGGAUGAUCCGCCACACUGGGACUGAGACACGGCCCAGACUCCUACGGGAGGCAGCAGUGGGGAAUUUUGGACAAUGGGCGUAAGCCUGAUCCAGCCAUGCCGCGUGUCUGAAGAAGGCCUUCGGGUUGUAAAGGACUUUUGUCCGGGAGCAAAUCCCAGUGGUUAAUACCUACUGGGGCUGAGAGUACCGGAAGAAUAAGCACCGGCUAACUACGUGCCAGCAGCCGCGGUAAUACGUAGGGUGCAAGCGUUAAUCGGAAUUACUGGGCGUAAAGCGUGCGCAGGCGGUUGUGCAAGUCUGAUGUGAAAGCCCCGGGCUUAACCUGGGAACGGCAUUGGAGACUGCACGA